AUGUCAACGUGCCAGUCAUCAGCGCGUGAGUGAGGGAUAGUGCGCAAUUGGAUUAAAUUCAAUGAAAAUUAAUAAAAAAGUAGUUUUCCAAGUGAUAUCAAAAGGAAUGUUUGUAAAAAAAAGUGAGUGUGUCCUCAAGAAAUGUUCGUUUUAGCGUUAGGAGGUCCUGCUACAAACAUCAAGCACAAUUUUAUCAACCGAUUUGGGCAAGUUUCUUCCAGGGAUUCCUAGAAAAUCCGGAAAUAUCAGUGCAGAUAGUGUUGGUCGUACAGAUGGUGCAAGUGGCUCUCAUUUGAGCUCUAGACAACAGCAGGUCGUUCCGUGAAGCAAGUGAUCAUUCAAAUUUGGACAUCCUCAUCACUGACGCUUUGAUAGUCGUUCAAGAAGAAUACGGAGGAGAGGGCGGAAAGUUUGACUUCAGAGAUGGAGAAUAUCAUUAAAUCAUGGAACUUAAGGGAUCCAAUGAUGGUAAUGGAAAUUUUGUCUGAAAACAACAUUGAAAUCUACCAGCUGCUUCAUAUGGAUGCUCACGAUAUCCGCAAGAAACGUUCCUAUUAAAUUGCACAUACAAUUUAAAAGCGAAUUAAAAUUAUGGAGAAAGAAUUUCCACGAAUAUCCUGUAAUGGUAGCAUUGUAGAGCAAAGUAUCUUGAUAUGAAGAACUGCAUUUACAUAUUGCCUCUCCAUGGACUGCAUAAACCGGAUAAGCAAAGAUAGUCAGAACAUCAUGGAAAUCGUCAUCGACAAUGUUUCAAAAAUGAAGGACAGUGCUAAAUUUAAAAUAACCAGAGCAGUACAGCAAGGUAUGGACUUUUAUGCAAUUAUAUUUUUCGAUAUUGACAAUAAUAGCUCAAUUUACAAUAAAAAAUUUGGAAAGUAUUGAUGUAAAGUAGUGUUAUACAGGCUUCAGACCUUAGGCUUAACCAUAUGACUUAACUUAUCCAGUUUCUUGUCAGUCAAUAUAUUUUUUGGAAAAUAUUGAAUAGGAUUAAUUAUUAAAAACUCCAGAAAGAGAGCAUUAUAUAUAAUCCUACUAUUUUGAGCUAUAUAUAUUUCAACUGCUUACCCCCCAAGGGGUCGUGUUUUAGUAGAAUUUUGGAAAUCGAAAGUUUUGAGUUUUUGGUGUUACGCUGUUUGUCCGUUUGUCCAUGCGGAAAGGCCUUAGAAUUUCUCACAACUCUGAUCCGGUUUCAAUCGAUUAUAAACUUGUAAUGAACUGGUUAUUGGUUAUGAACCGAAAAUUAAUUUUUGUCCAAAAAUCUAUUUUAUUACUUCGAAAACUGUUUUGGGGGAUUCUUUAAGUGAUUUAUGAAUCGGUUCAAAUCGGUUGAAAACCGGUAAACGGUAGAUAAUGAAAAAAUACUUUUGAAGUGUAGUAUCUAAAUCACAAGUUCGUACAAUAUGCAAAGACUGGGAUACUUUGCCAUCCCUUUUAAAAUACCUUAGGUCAAUUGAGUCAUAUGAAGCAGAAUAUGAAUAAGCCUUAGAUUUGAAGCCCAUAUAACUAUGAAUGUUAGGAUAUAAUGAAUCAAAUAAAUUGAAUUAGUAUGAAA
This is a long non-coding RNA of Phlebotomus papatasi, 1552 nucleotides long. RefSeq lists it as uncharacterized. The transcript is spliced from 5 exons. NCBI's taxonomy places the organism in Eukaryota, Metazoa, Arthropoda, Insecta, Diptera, Psychodidae. The record is from RefSeq and is a predicted model, not a curated record.